UCCCCACAGGAGGCUCUCCAGAGCAUCGCCACCGACCCCGGGCUGUACCAGAUGCUGCCGCGCUUCAGCACCUUCAUCUCUGAGGGGGUGCGCGUCAACGUGGUUCAGACCAACCUGGCGCUGCUGAUUUACCUGAUGGGGAUGGUGAAGGCUCUGAUGGACAACCCGACCCUGUACCUGGAGAAAUGCAUGUCCCCGUGGGCCCGGUCGGGGCGGUGGCCCUGGAGCGGAACCUCUCGGGUCGCUUCGAGUCACGAUUCGUGACCGUGCGGGUGGAGCCGGGCCCGGCGCUGAUGCUGCGGGGCAUGGAGGGGGCGCGGCUCGGGGUCUGGGUGGCUGCACGGGGAAGGUACUGGGCAAACUGGUU
This is a long non-coding RNA of Catharus ustulatus (Swainson's thrush), 367 nucleotides long. RefSeq lists it as uncharacterized. NCBI's taxonomy places the organism in Eukaryota, Metazoa, Chordata, Aves, Passeriformes, Turdidae. The record is from RefSeq and is a predicted model, not a curated record. The transcript is spliced from 3 exons.